RNAcentral lists this unclassified non-coding RNA (593 nucleotides) under Hevea brasiliensis (rubber tree). The record is from RNAcentral. Lineage: Eukaryota; Viridiplantae; Streptophyta; Magnoliopsida; Malpighiales; Euphorbiaceae.
UGGAUUCAAAUGUAACAGUGCAGUUUGGAAAGCUCUGCGGACCAUAGACACAUCUGAGGAGAGGAACCCAUGGAUAGAUGAGAUACACCUGUUCCCAGUGGAUGUUCCUAAGGUUUCAGCCAUAUAGAAAUGCUAGCAGUGGUUUCUCAUUUCUCUGCAGGGCAGGGGCUUCUGGUGAUGGAAGCAAAUUUCUUUGAGUGAUGAAUCUUUUUUGUCUGCUUUUACUGCAGAAUCAUUUAGGACUUGUUAACUAUAUUGGUUUUCCUUUUUAAGCUAUGAGUGAUUUAGAAUGAGGUAAUGACUUGGAAUUAGGCUGUAUUGUCCUCAAGUUAGCAAGAAUGUGAUUACCAGGCAUUUCAUUUUUCUUUACUGAGACACUGUCAUCUCUUUGGCACUGUCCAUUGUCAUUCAGCGUCGGACAUCGACCCCCCUAGCAUAUUCUGUUAUGUCACUUUUAACUUUAUACGCUAUUCAUCCCAAAGCAAACAAUACUUCAGGUAGACCUCGUUAUGUAAUAUUUUUAACAAUGAACUUUGAGAGAAUUGGGAAAACCUUCAUUAGUUGUAAAAUUUAGCUGCUGAAGAAGAUUAAGA